Molecule: long non-coding RNA, 1075 nt
Filed under: Heterocephalus glaber (naked mole-rat)
Lineage: Eukaryota; Metazoa; Chordata; Mammalia; Rodentia; Bathyergidae
Description: lncRNA (ENSHGLG00000036064.1)
Source: RNAcentral
CAAGCACCCAGCUACAUUGAAAAGCUGGGCAGAGCCAGACAUGGGGAUGCAUACUUAUAAUCCCAGCUACUGGAAAGGCAGAAGCAGGUGGAUCUCGAGUCCAAACCCAGCCUUGCCAACUUAGGGAGAAUGUCUCAAUAAAAAAUAACAACGGCUGAGGAUGUAGCUUAGUGGUAGUGGUAAGUGACCCUGGAUUCAAUCCCCAGUACCACACACACACACGUGCAGUUAGAUGAACCAUCCUGGGAGGCCACAGGCUUCCCCAGGGCAUUGGCAGUGGACUCCCAUUGCACCCAACCUUUCAGGACCACCUCUGGCUCGAUUCAGUGAGAUGCACCUGCCCCCAGGUGACUCACGAGCACACCAGGCUCGCCACGAGAGGGGAAGCUGCCAUUCCCAAUGCAGCAGGUUGCCAGUACAUUUAUGACUUGGGAUCACGAAUCCUUAAAUCACCUGCAUGCCCUUGUAAGCAUGAUCAUAGAUCAGCUUGGAAGAGGCCUUGCUGCAGGUGUCUUGGCAAACCCUGGUCAAAGCUAGGAACCACGAGACCAAGGAACUCUAGCAGCUGCACUGGUCCCCAGGAAGCAACGAGAUGCUCUGGACAAGGAAGAUGUGAGUGCAAAUCGAUGAUAAUCUAAGCCUUGGUGGGGAUUUACUGAACCGUAGGUUGCUGCUGCCAGUACAGUAGCUUUGUACCUCUGGGUAGGGACUGCAAGGGACCCUCGGGACCUGCCAUGAGCAAUUCCAGACUCGUGUCCGAGGUCAUCCAGGGAGACCCAGACGUCUGCUAGGGGCCGGGACAGCUGCCUGCGGAUGGAACUGAGCAUGCUCAGGAGGCCCAGGGUUCCCACCACCCUGUGGAGCGUCGCAGCCCUGGAGAGGUGGCCCCCAGUGCAUGAGGAAGGCUUCACACUGUUAUUGUUCGAUCCUGACUCUGCCAACCAGAAAAAUGUGACAUGAGAAGGACAGACCCAUCAGGCUCAGUGGCACACGGCUGUCAUCCCAGCUACUCAGGAGUCUGAGGCAGGAGGAUUCCAAGUUCAAGUCCCAGAUGCACAACUGAGCGAGACCCUGU